AUUGCUUUGUGCUUCCCAGUG
RNAcentral lists this microRNA (21 nucleotides) under Heligmosomoides polygyrus. RNAcentral describes it as "hpo-miR-10153-3p". Lineage: Eukaryota; Metazoa; Nematoda; Chromadorea; Rhabditida; Heligmosomidae. The record is from miRBase by way of RNAcentral.